AGUUUGAUCCUGGCUCAGAUUGAACGCUGGCGGCAUGCCUUACACAUGCAAGUCGAACGGCAGCACGGAGCUUGCUCUGGUGGCGAGUGGCGAACGGGUGAGUAAUAUAUCGGAACGUACCCUAGAGUGGGGGAUAACGUAGCGAAAGUUACGCUAAUACCGCAUACGAUCUAAGGAUGAAAGUGGGGGAUCGCAAGACCUCAUGCUCGUGGAGCGGCCGAUAUCUGAUUAGCUAGUUGGUAGGGUAAAAGCCUACCAAGGCAUCGAUCAGUAGCUGGUCUGAGAGGACGACCAGCCACACUGGAACUGAGACACGGUCCAGACUCCUACGGGAGGCAGCAGUGGGGAAUUUUGGACAAUGGGCGAAAGCCUGACCCAGCAAUGCCGCGUGAGUGAAGAAGGCCUUCGGGUUGUAAAGCUCUUUUGUCAGGGAAGAAACGGUGAAAGCUAAUAUCUUUUGCUAAUGACGGUACCUGAAGAAUAAGCACCGGCUAACUACGUGCCAGCAGCCGCGGUAAUACGUAGGGUGCAAGCGUUAAUCGGAAUUACUGGGCGUAAAGCGUGCGCAGGCGGUUUUGUAAGUCUGAUGUGAAAUCCCCGGGCUCAACCUGGGAAUUGCAUUGGAGACUGCAAGGCUAGAAUCUGGCAGAGGGGGGUAGAAUUCCACGUGUAGCAGUGAAAUGCGUAG
RNAcentral lists this ribosomal RNA (688 nucleotides) under uncultured bacterium. RNAcentral describes it as "bacterial SSU rRNA". It matches the Rfam family "Bacterial small subunit ribosomal RNA", at positions 10 to 693 of the family's 1533-position model. The record is from RNAcentral.